Molecule: long non-coding RNA, 1233 nt
Organism: Erinaceus europaeus (western European hedgehog)
Lineage: Eukaryota; Metazoa; Chordata; Mammalia; Eulipotyphla; Erinaceidae
Exons: 3
Source: RefSeq, a predicted model, not a curated record
CAGUAGUUUCCUGAUAGCCUAAUCUAGUGUUUUGAAGCAUAGAUAUUACAUGAUCAACCAUACUUUGAGUACAAGCUAAAAACAUUGUGGGGAACGUCUGAAUAGUCUCAGAAGGGAUUCUGUUAUGGGGAAGUGAUGUGCUCUAACUGCUUAGUUUUGAUCUGUGUCCUCUAGAAUCGAGUGAAAUUGCCAGAAAGAUGCUCAUGAACACAGUAAUUCCAGUUGAAGCAGUCUGCCUAAGAUCAUAUUGCUUAGCAGAACCAAAAGUGACAUUUCCCAUGGACUUUUUUUUUCUUUAGUUCUGAUCUUUUAUUCAGUGUUACAGUUCCAAAUGUCACUAGGAGUAUCUGGCACACAGUAGAUGGUCAAUUAAUAAUUGGUUGAAUUUGUUGGAUGAAGCUACUAGGAAAAAAACUAUUUCCUUGAUCCAUCACUGUGCCCUGAUACAUUUCUGGGAUAAGAUUAUGGGAGUUUAAGAGGAGAAAGUCUUGGGUUGGAGCUUUAGAUUAAUAAGUGUAAUUAUGUUAAAUCAGCCCACUAAACCAAACAAAAGUGAAAGUUUAUAUACCAUUAACAACUUCCAAGGUCAAAGUCUUGGAUUAUAACUCUCAUCUAAAUGGUGAGGAGGCAGACUUUUAAGUGUUGUAAGAUCUGUAUUACUCUUGCAGACAGUUGAACUCUUUAGGAGGACAAAAUGCUUCCUUUUUUUUUUUUAAUAAUUUAUUUACUUAAUUCAUGAGAAAGAGAGAGAAAGAACCAGAUAUCACUCUGGUACAUGUGCUGCUGGGGAUUGAACUCGGGACCUCAUGAUUGAGAAUUCAGCGCUUUAUCUACUGCACCACUAAUGAUUUCUUUUUUAAAGAAUGUUGCCAGAAUGUACAGAACUGAAAAUGAAGUAAUUGUGUACUCAGUCGGGGAUGGACAUACUUUGACCCAACAGCGCCCACCUCUACCAGCUUGUGCUUGGUAAUCUUUGUGUGUUCUGCACUCCGAAUAGUUUGGAAGAACAGAGACUUAUCUUACAAGGCUGUGAGCAUGAGUGAAUAGGGCAUGGACAUAGAAAGUACACAUGAACAUAUAAGGCAUUUUAGAUUGCGGUAAGUGCUUUGGGAAAUGGUGAAUAGAGGAGAAAUCAAGGUGGUGAUGCUAGGAGAGUAAGGAACUGAUUUUAAGGAGCGUGAUCUCUGAGGUGGGAAGCAUUCCAGAGCACACGGGUGGGGCUGGGGAGGCUUC